RNAcentral lists this ribosomal RNA (1235 nucleotides) under metagenome. RNAcentral's name for it is "bacterial LSU rRNA". It matches the Rfam family "Bacterial large subunit ribosomal RNA", at positions 1564 to 2808 of the family's 2925-position model. The record is from RNAcentral.
UGAAUACGAGAUGCUACGGCAUCGAAGCAGUCUAUGUCAUACUUCCAAGAAAAGCUUGCACUGUCAUAAACAAAUAAUGCCUGUACCAUAACCGACACAGGUGGGUAGGUAGAGUAUACUAAGGGGCGCGAGAUAACUCUCUCUAAGGAACUCGGCAAGAUGACUCCGUAACUUCGGGAGAAGGAGUGCCUUAUUUUAUAAGGUUGCAAUAACAAGAUCCAAGCAACUUUUUACCAAAAACACAGGUCUCCGCUAAGUCGUAAGACGAUGUAUGGGGGCUGACGCCUGCCCAGUGCCAGAAGGUUAAAGAAGUUGGUUAGCAUUAGCGAAGCUGAUAACUGAAGCCCUGGUGAACGGCGGCCGUAACGAUAACGGUCCUAAGGUAGCGAAAUUCCUUGUCGGGUAAGUUCCGACCCGCACGAAGGGCGUAAUGAUUUGGAUACUGUCUCGGAGAGGGGCUCGGUGAAAUAGACUUGUCUGUGAAGAUGCGGACUACCUGCACCAGGACAGAAAGACCCUAUGAAGCUUUACUGUAACUUGAGAUUGAAAUUGGACUUUAUUUGCGCAGUAUAGGUGGGAGACGUUGAAAAUAUUCUUGCGGGAAUAUUGGAGUCAUCAGUGAGAUACCACUCUUGUAAUGUUAGAUUUCUAACUUUGUAUCAUUAUCUGGUCAAAGAACAGUCUCAGGCGGGCAGUUUGACUGGGGCGGUCGCCUCCCAAACGGUAACGGAGGCGCACAAAGGUUUCCUCUGAACGUGUAGAAAUCGUAUCUAGAGUGUAAAGGCAUAAGGAAGCUUGACUGUGAGACCUACAAGUCGAGCAGGGACGAAAGUCGGUCUUAGUGAUCUGACGGUGCUGAGUGGAAAGGCCGUCACUCAACGGAUAAAAGUUACUCUAGGAUAACAGGCUGAUCUCCCCCAAGAGUUCACAUCGACGGGGAGGUUUGGCACCUCGAUGUCGGCUCAUCGCAUCCUGGGGCGGUAGUACGUCCCAAGGGUUGGGCUGUUCGCCCAUGAAAGCGGUACGCGAGCUGGGUUCAGAACGUCGUGAGACAGUUCGGUCCAUAUCCGGUGUAGGCGUUAGAAUAUUGAGAGGAGCCUUCUUUAGUACGAGAGGACCGAGAAGGACAUACCUCUGGUGUACCAGUUAUCGUGCCAACGGUAAACGCUGGGUAGCUAUGUAUGGAGAGGAUAACCGCUGAAAGCAUCUAAGUGGGAAGCCCACCUCAAGAUAAG